RNAcentral lists this ribosomal RNA (253 nucleotides) under uncultured bacterium. Its description in RNAcentral is "partial 16S ribosomal RNA". It matches the Rfam family "Bacterial small subunit ribosomal RNA", at positions 524 to 776 of the family's 1533-position model. The record is from RNAcentral.
UACGGAGGGUGCAAGCGUUAUCCGGAUUCACUGGGUUUAAAGGGCGCGUAGGUGGGUCUGUAAGUCAGUGGUGAAAGCCCGGAGCUCAACUCCGGAACUGCCAUUGAAACUGUUUAGCUUGAGUAUGAGAGAGGUGAGUGGAAUUCCCAGUGUAGAGGUGAAAUUCGUAGAUAUUGGGAAGAACACCGGUGGCGAAGGCGGCUCACUGGCUCAUUACUGACGCUCAGGCGCGACAGCGUGGGGAUCAAACAGG